Molecule: ribosomal RNA, 435 nt
Filed under: uncultured bacterium
Lineage: Bacteria
Description: bacterial SSU rRNA
Rfam family: Bacterial small subunit ribosomal RNA
Source: RNAcentral
CAGGCCUAACACAUGCAAGUCGAACGAGACCUUCGGGUCUAGUGGCGCACGGGUGCGUAACGCGUGGGAAUCUGCCCCUUGGUUCGGAAUAACAGUUAGAAAUGACUGCUAAUACCGGAUAACGACGUAAGUCCAAAGAUUUAUCGCCGAGGGAUGAGCCCGCGUAGGAUUAGCUAGUUGGUGUGGUAAAGGCGCACCAAGGCGACGAUCCUUAGCUGGUCUGAGAGGAUGAUCAGCCACACUGGGACUGAGACACGGCCCAGACUCCUACGGGAGGCAGCAGUGGGGAAUAUUGGACAAUGGGCGAAAGCCUGAUCCAGCAAUGCCGCGUGAGUGAUGAAGGCCUUAGGGUUGUAAAGCUCUUUUACCCGGGAUGAUAAUGACAGUAUCGGGAGAAUAAGCUCCGGCUAACUCCGUGCCAGCAGCCGCGGUAAU